UACGGAGGGUGCGAGCGUUAAUCGGAAUUACUGGGCGUAAAGCGCAUGCAGGUGGAUGAUUAAGUCAGAUGUGAAAGCCCGGGGCUCAACCUCGGAAUAGCAUUUGAAACUGGUUAUCUAGAGUACUGUAGAGGGGGGUAGAAUUUCAGGUGUAGCGGUGAAAUGCGUAGAGAUCUGAAGGAAUACCGGUGGCGAAGGCGGCCCCCUGGACAGAUACUGACACUCAGAUGCGAAAGCGUGGGGAGCAAACAGG
RNAcentral lists this ribosomal RNA (253 nucleotides) under uncultured bacterium. Its description in RNAcentral is "partial 16S ribosomal RNA". It matches the Rfam family "Bacterial small subunit ribosomal RNA", at positions 524 to 776 of the family's 1533-position model. The record is from RNAcentral.